Quercus robur (English oak) is the source of this 893-nucleotide long non-coding RNA. RefSeq lists it as uncharacterized. The record is from RefSeq and is a predicted model, not a curated record. The transcript is spliced from 3 exons. Lineage: Eukaryota; Viridiplantae; Streptophyta; Magnoliopsida; Fagales; Fagaceae.
ACCUGAGGCUGAUUAUGUCCUUUAUACCUUUGGGCAACCGUUCAAGAUUGCUGCAACUAUCAAGCAGUAAAGUUUGCAAACUAUGUAGCUUGCAAAUGGAAUCUGGAAGUUGCUUGAUUCUGCGAUUUUCUGUUAGGUCGAGAUAUCUCAAAUGUUUCAAACUUCCGAUAGAAUUUGGCAACACCUCAAAGGAUGAUUUUCUCAAAUCAAGCACCCGCAAGUACUUAAAUCUUGAGAUACAUGCUUUAAGUAUGGACAUGGGUUGCUUUGUUUUGAAAAUAAUAGUCUGAACUUUGCUCAACCUCUCUAAUUGUGUUGUAACUUCUUGCCCACUCUCCAAAAUUGACAGAUGACAAACUUUGGCAGCAAGGGUGGACGUCUUGGUCACUACCGAACACUCACCUUUGGCAAUUGAGAUUGCAAGAUCAUGGACAAGAUCGUGCAUUUUAAAGGUGAUUGAAGAAUUCCAUGUGCCAUCCAAAAUUGAACCAAUUGAGAAUUAGUGAAUUUAUAAUUCUUUGGGAAAAGAGAGCAAUAGGCAAAGCAUUGCUUCAAGUGAAACGGCAAUUGAUUGUAACUCAACCUCAAUGCAGGUACCUACUGCCAAUCUCAGUUGAGCAUGUGUCUAGACUCUCGAGAGGCAAAUAGAUUUCUAGACAGACUAUAGUUGACCAAGGGAGCAACCAAAUGCAGAGGGAAAUACUUUAUGACACAUUCUUUAAAGUCUUAAUAGCUGUUUUUAUAACCAGAAAUCCUAUAUCUUGGGAUUCUGAAUUAGACAGCCCUUGGGGCCUUAACGGUUCUGUGGCAAUAUGAUCCACAGAGUUCGGAUAUAAUUGCAAAUAAGUGAUGGCAAAAUUGUAAGUAGGUGGAUUUAUCCAUGGUCUCUGUAU